RNAcentral lists this ribosomal RNA (639 nucleotides) under uncultured bacterium. RNAcentral's name for it is "bacterial SSU rRNA". It matches the Rfam family "Bacterial small subunit ribosomal RNA", at positions 232 to 885 of the family's 1533-position model. The record is from RNAcentral.
CGCGGCCUAUCAGCUUGUUGGUGAGGUAACGGCUCACCAAGGCAUCGACGGGUAACUGGUCUGAGAGGACGAUCAGCCACACUGGGACUGAGACACGGCCCAGACUCCUACGGGAGGCAGCAGGAGGGAAUAUUGCGCAAUGGGCGAAAGCCUGACGCAGCGACGCCGCGUGGGGGAAGAAGGCCUUCGGGUCGUAAACCCCUUUCAGCAGGGACGAAAUUGACGGUACCUGCAGAAGAAGCGCCGGCCAACUACGUGCCAGCAGCCGCGGUAAUAUGUAGGGCGCAAGCGUUGUCCGGAUUCAUUGGGCGUAAAGGGCUCGUAGGCGGUUUGGUAAGUCGGGUGUGAAAACUCAGGGCUCAACUCUGAGACGCCACUCGAUACUGCCAUGACUAGAGUCCGGUAGGGGAGUGUAGAAUUCCUGGUGUAGCGGUGAAAUGCGCAGAUAUCAGGAGGAACACCGACGGCGAAGGCAGCACUCUGGGCCGGUACUGACGCUGAGGAGCGAAAGCGUGGGUAGCAAACAGGAUUAGAUACCCUGGUAGUCCACGCCGUAAACGUUGGGCACUAGGUGUGGGGCCUUAUCAACGGGUUCCGUGCCGUAGCUAACGCAUUAAGUGCCCCGCCUGGGGAGUACGG